GACGAACGCUGGCGGCGUGCUUAACACAUGCAAGUCGAACGGUAAGGCCCUUCGGGGUACACGAGUGGCGAACGGGUGAGUAACACGUGGGUGAUCUGCCCUGCACUUUGGGAUAAGCCUGGGAAACUGGGUCUAAUACCGAAUACACCCUGCUGGUCGCAUGGCCUGGUGGGGGAAAGCUUUUGCGGUGUGGGAUGGGCCCGCGGCCUAUCAGCGUGUUGGUGGGGUGAUGGCCUACCAAGGCGACGACGGGUAGCCGGCCUGAGAGGGUGACCGGCCACACGGGGACUGAGAUACGGCCCAGACUCCUACGGGAGGCAGCAGUGGGGAAUAUUGCACAAUGGGCGCAAGCCUGAUGCAGCGACGCCGCGUGAGGGAUGACGGCCUUCGGGUUGUAAACCUCUUUCAAUAGGGACGAAGCGCAAGUGACGGUACCUAUAGAAGAAGGACCGGCCAACUACGUGCCAGCAGCCGCCGUAA
RNAcentral lists this ribosomal RNA (480 nucleotides) under uncultured bacterium. Its description in RNAcentral is "partial 16S ribosomal RNA". It matches the Rfam family "Bacterial small subunit ribosomal RNA", at positions 28 to 523 of the family's 1533-position model. The record is from RNAcentral.